This 497-nucleotide ribosomal RNA is filed under the name uncultured bacterium. Its description in RNAcentral is "partial 16S ribosomal RNA". It matches the Rfam family "Bacterial small subunit ribosomal RNA", at positions 28 to 507 of the family's 1533-position model. The record is from RNAcentral.
GAUGAACGCUGGCGGCGUGCCUAAUACAUGCAAGUCGAGCGAACAGACGAGGAGCUUGCUCCUCUGACGUUAGCGGCGGACGGGUGAGUAACACGUGGAUAACCUACCUAUAAGACUGGGAUAACUUCGGGAAACCGGAGCUAAUACCGGAUAAUAUAUUGAACCGCAUGGUUCAAUAGUGAAAGACGGUUUUGCUGUCACUUCUAGAUGGAUCCGCGCCGCAUUAGCUAGUUGGUAAGGUAACGGCUUACCAAGGCGACCAUGCGUAGCCGAACUGAGAGGGGGAUCGGCCACACUAGAACUGAGACACGGACAAGACUCCUACGGGAGGCAGCAGUAGGGAAUCUUACGCAAUAGGCGAAAACUUGACGGAGCAACGCCGCGUGAGUGAUGAAGGUCUUCGGAUCGUAAAACUCUGUUAUUAGGGAAGAACAAAUGUGUAAGUAACUAUGCACGUCUUGACGGUACCUAGUCAGAAAGCCACGGCUAACUACGUG